AGUGUUUGUGGACUGAUGCUUGAUGAUGAUGUGGAGCUUUUUUUGAGAUGUGUAAGAAGCUAGCUGUUUAUCGAACUGUUUAUCAGUGAAUCAUAUUCUUGCAACAAAGUUUACGUAAAAUAACAUUGUUUUUGCAAAGCUUUAAGCUCAAACAUUCCAAAUGUGAACAAACAUUUUGUUUACGGAAGAAACAAAAAUUCACGGAUUAAUUCAACCAAUUUAAAGGACAUUUCAUCUGACGAUGACUCGGUGGUUUAGGCCAUCUUGUUGGAUUUUACUUCUGGGUUUGAUGAACACAUACCAGGUGUUCGGCACUCCGGAUACAGUUCCGGUCGAAUCCCACUGCAACGACGUCAUCUUUUUCCACCAAUCAAAGCUGGUUGUGCUGGAGCAUUGGGCCAACCUGUCUGACACCAACUGCACGCUGGGGUUUCUAGCCUUCACACCGUACCAUCACAACGGCAACCCG
This is a long non-coding RNA of Physella acuta, 469 nucleotides long. RefSeq lists it as uncharacterized. The record is from RefSeq and is a predicted model, not a curated record. NCBI's taxonomy places the organism in Eukaryota, Metazoa, Mollusca, Gastropoda, Physidae.